AAGGUCCAUGGUGCUUGGUUUGACAUUAUGUCUGUUAUUAUGGUAAAACAUCUGCUGGAAGAGUUAGCUGCCAUAUUUGGAUUGUACAUCAAUCAAGAGAGGCAGAAUGGAAGGUACAGUUCCUGGAAAAAGAGUAGAUCAGUUUAGGGAUCAGCUGAAGGAGGGGUCUAUUUACACCACUGAGAAAUUUGAUUUGUAUGAUCCUAGAAAGAGCUACAGGUCAGUAGAUCAUCCUUUGCGGAUCUUCUUUACUAUGAGGACUAUUGUGUCAGAGGUGGUGCCGCCGCCGGAGAAUUUUCCUAUGUACACCUAUACUAUUGUCCCGUUUAGCAUGCUGUCAGAUUGCAUUGAUCAGAAUAACUUAUAUCCAAUUUACAGAUGUUGUCGGAUGGCUUAACAAAGUCACCGAUGUUUUUGCCUCCUUAUGGUAAUACAAAGACCCAAAAGAGACAAAUUUAUAUCACGGAUGGAAGGUGUCGAUCGCUGCUAUCUUAAAUUUCUUUUUUCCAUAGUCUGCAUCUGCCAAGGCACGUCGAAUUACACACUAGAAACCAAAGUCAUACAGAGCCGACCGUGUCAAUGAUCACGGAAAUAGCGACAUUAGGACCCAAUUGCAUCAUGGGUGAACGGUACAAGAUGUCCAUUUGAAUUACUGAGGUUCUUACAGACAAAGGCUGGUAUUACAUAAGUUGCAAAGAAUGUUAGAAAAAACUUAAGCUAGAUGAUAGGGUAUACAAAUACCCGCCCCUAAGUGUCCUGCUGUUAUACCUCUUCCAAGAUAUAGGUUUAUUGUCCGAGCAGUUAAUUCUGCUUCAGCAGAUCCACAUACCGGCAAAUUCACAAACUUUAUUUGUUUGGGCCUCGCGGAGAGGUUGUUGUCGGAAAAGAAGCAUUCACUUGUGUCCAGUGUCAGAGGAACGGCUAAUACUGUGCUUCAGGAUUUGCUUGCCAUCGUGGGAAGAGAGUUCAGCGUUGUUGUUGCUCCUAGACGUGAAUCUCGCUGGAUACAUUGCACAGCCACCUUCGGGUCCAGAUUGCUGAUCCGAUUUCCGUGCCACUGUUACUCGACGACGGGGCAUGGAUAAUUCAGCCACAAGUCAAGGCAAUGAGAAUCUCUCUGCUCCUCCUGAAACUCCAAAACAUGUUCAAGGUCCAAGUGAGACUUCCACUCCACCACCAUCUAUGGAUCCCACGUUACAAAGUGCAGCAUCAUCGGCUUCUGUUAUUGAUGAGACUGGCUCUCAUGUGGCUGAAGGGGAAAGACAAAAAAACGUUGUUGGUGGCAAGAACCCUAAUCUUAGAAGGGAUUACACUUCACAGAUGAUGACUAGGAUCUUGGACACACAGGAUAUAAAGGGCACAAUAUCUUGGACAUCUGUCUACACACUGGUCUUCUGCAGAUGAAUGCAGCGAGGGAGCUUUGUUAUUCCCGAGCUGUUGUUCAGGGCCUAUAUGUUUGGACCCUGAAUACACUUUCAUGUUUAUGUAUCUGCGUCAACCACCCGGUUAGGCUAUGUGCUUAGGUUGUAUGUGUUAUUUAGCCUCAUAGAUGUUGUGUUUGGAUUGCUAGAAGCGAUUUGUCAGUUGCCGUUUCUAAUGUACUAUAUCUUUCCCCGCACUGCUUAUGUUUUAUAUUGUACAAUUUCCA
Molecule: non-coding RNA, 1648 nt
Organism: Lolium perenne
Lineage: Eukaryota; Viridiplantae; Streptophyta; Magnoliopsida; Poales; Poaceae
Source: RefSeq, a predicted model, not a curated record